GAUGGCGACCGGCGCACGGGUGAGUAACGCGUAUCCAACCUUCCCCGCAGUAGGGUAUAGCCCGGCGAAAGUCGGAUUAAUCCCCUAUGACGUAUUCCGAUGUCAUCAGAGGAAUACCAAAGAUUGAUCGCUGCGGGAUGGGGAUGCGUCUGAUUAGCUUGUCGGCGGGGUAACGGCCCACCGAGGCAACGAUCAGUAGGGGUUCUGAGAGGAAGGUCCCCCACAUUGGUACUGAGACACGGACCAAACUCCUACGGGAGGCAGCAGUGAGGAAUAUUGGUCAAUGGGCGCAAGCCUGAACCAGCCAAGUAGCGUGCAGGAUGACGGCCCUAUGGGUUGUAAACUGCUUUUUCAGGGGAAUAAAGUCGGGGAUUGAUCCCCGUUUGCAUGUACCCUGCGAAUAAGGACCGGCUAAUUCCGUGCCAGCAGCCGCGGUAAUACGGAAGGUCCGGGCGUUAUCCGGAUUUAUUGGGUUUAAAGGGAGCGCAGGCCGGAGAUUAAGCGUGACGUGAAAUGCCGCGGCUCAACCGUGGAAGUGCGUCGCGAACUGAUUUUCUUGAGUAUGUUCGACGUAGGCGGAAUUCGUGGUGUAGCGGUGAAAUGCUUAGAUAUCACGAAGAACUCCGAUU
RNAcentral lists this ribosomal RNA (629 nucleotides) under uncultured Bacteroidales bacterium. Its description in RNAcentral is "bacterial SSU rRNA". It matches the Rfam family "Bacterial small subunit ribosomal RNA", at positions 87 to 714 of the family's 1533-position model. Lineage: Bacteria; Pseudomonadati; Bacteroidota; Bacteroidia; Bacteroidales. The record is from RNAcentral.